RNAcentral lists this ribosomal RNA (305 nucleotides) under uncultured bacterium. RNAcentral describes it as "bacterial SSU rRNA". It matches the Rfam family "Bacterial small subunit ribosomal RNA", at positions 333 to 652 of the family's 1533-position model. The record is from RNAcentral.
AUUUCCCUACGGGACGCAGCAGUGGGGAAUAUUGGACAAUGGGGGGAACCCUGAUCCAGCGGCGCCGCGUGAGUGAAGAAGUAUUUCGGUAUGUAAAGCUCUAUCAGCAGGGAAGAAAGAAAUGACGGUACCUGACUAAGAAGCCCCGGCUAACUACGUGCCAGCAGCCGCGGUGAUACGUAGGGGGCAAGCGUUAUCCGGAUUUACUGGGUGUAAAGGGAGCGUAGACGGCGAUGCAAGUCUGAAGUGAAAGGCGGGGGCCCAACCCCCGGACUGCUUUGGAAACUGUAUAGCUGGAGGGCAGG